UGAGUCUCGUAGAGGGGGGUAGAAUUCCAGGUGUAGCGGUGAAAUGCGUAGAGAUCUGGAGGAAUACCGGUGGCGAAGGCGGCCCCCUGGACGAAGACUGACGCUCAGGUGCGAAAGCGUGGGGAGCAAACAGGAUUAGAUACCCUGGUAGUCCACGCCGUAAACGAUGUCGACUUGGAGGUUGUGCCCUUGAGGCGUGGCUUCCGGAGCUAACGCGUUAAGUCGACCGCCUGGGGAGUACGGCCGCAAGGUUAAAACUCAAAUGAAUUGACGGGGGCCCGCACAAGCGGUGGAGCAUGUGGUUUAAUUCGAUGCAACGCGAAGAACC
RNAcentral lists this ribosomal RNA (328 nucleotides) under Escherichia coli. RNAcentral's name for it is "bacterial SSU rRNA". It matches the Rfam family "Bacterial small subunit ribosomal RNA", at positions 642 to 970 of the family's 1533-position model. The record is from RNAcentral. Lineage: Bacteria; Pseudomonadati; Pseudomonadota; Gammaproteobacteria; Enterobacterales; Enterobacteriaceae.